GAUUAACGCUGGCGGCAUGCCUAAUACAUGCAAGUCGAACGGAAGCAGCAAUGCUUUAGUGGCGAACGGGUGAGUAACACGUAGGGAACCUACCUAUACGACGAGGAUAACUACUGGAAACGGUAGCUAAAACUGGAUAGGAUCAAUUGAGGCAUCUUGAUUGAUUUAAAGAUCCUUCGGGGAUUACGUAGAGAUGGCCCUGCGGCGCAUUAGCUAGUUGGUGAGGUAACGGCCCACCAAGGCGACGAUGCGUAGCUGAGCUGAGAGGCUAAACAGCCACACUGGGACUGAGACACGGCCCAGACUCCUACGGGAGGCAGCAGUAGGGAAUUUUCGGCAAUGGGGGAAACCCUGACCGAGCAAUGCCGCGUGAACGAUGAAGGUCUUCGGAUUGUAAAGUUCUGUGAUUGGGAAGAAUGGUAUUCUUAGGGAAUGAGGAGUACAUGACGGUACCCGAUUAGAAAGCCCCGGCUAACUAUGUGCCAGCAGCCGCGG
RNAcentral lists this ribosomal RNA (495 nucleotides) under uncultured bacterium. Its description in RNAcentral is "bacterial SSU rRNA". It matches the Rfam family "Bacterial small subunit ribosomal RNA", at positions 28 to 520 of the family's 1533-position model. The record is from RNAcentral.